This 1817-nucleotide long non-coding RNA is filed under the name Homo sapiens (human). RNAcentral's name for it is "HSALNT0196835". The record is from RNAcentral. Lineage: Eukaryota; Metazoa; Chordata; Mammalia; Primates; Hominidae.
GUCUGUCUCCCAGGCUGGAGUGCAGUGGCACGAUCUCGACUCACUGCAACCUCCACCUCCUGGAUUCAAGUGAUUCUCCUGCCUCAGCCCCCUGCGUAGCUGGGAUUACAGGUGCCCACCACCAUGCCUGGCUAAUUUUUGUAUUUUUAGUAGAAACGGGGUUUCACCAUAUUGACCAGGCUGGUCUCCAACCCCUGACCUCAAGUGAUCCAACGACCUCGGCCUCCCAAAAUGUUGGGAUGACAGGCAUGAGCCACAGUGCCCAGCCAGUUUUCCAAUUGGAAACGGCCACCUGAAACUUUUUUUAAUGACUGUGAAAUAUGACUUGUCAUUAAAUGAUCAGAUUUUAAAAGACCUAGAAAACUCAAAAGAGGCACUCUCCCUCUUCCUUCUAUGACAAGGACCCUGAUUCGACACGGCUGCCCAUGUUCCCAGCUCCAGGAGAUAAACGAAGUCAAACCUAAGCCACUCAUGACAAAUUUGUCUCCUGUGUAAUUGGUCUAGGCACAAGCACAUGACCCAUUUAUAGACAAUGAGACAGGUGGGACGUCUUAAAGCACUGGAAAUAUUUUUCUCCUUGACACAUAGAAAGUAGUCACACUUGGUAAAGACCUUCAACUGCGCUCACAUUCUGUCCUGCUUUCUGGGGACCACAUGAUGGUGCCUGAAUCAGAGGCAGCCACCUAGGGACCAUGAACGACUAAGCCUUAAAUAAGCUAAAGAAGGCAGGAGAGGAUGGAAAAAGACCUCCAGGAAUUUCCAAGUCAACCCUGGGAGUGUCCACCAUGGUAGGCUAAACAAUGGCCUAUCAAAGAUGCCCAUGUUCUAAUUCCCAGGACUGCUAGGUCACUCCCUACAUAUAAUUGAACCUCUGUGGAAUUGAAGGAUCCAUGGAAGAAAGAUGAAAACCGUUUGUUUAUGUAAAAGACAGAGCAAGUAUACUAAAAUCACAGAGCGGUCACUUAAUAGUAGGUUUUGAAAACUUAAUUUGCAUGGGAAAAUACUAUACACAGUUUUAAAAUCAAAUUGAUACUGUCUUGGUGCCAUUUUAAAAAAUCAGAACAAAAUUCUAAAUUUGCAGAUCUGGUAGCUCUGUAAGUAUGGUUUUAUGGUAGAGUAUGGUUUUUUUUAUUCCAUAUUUUAAAAACAAUAGAUAAAUAAGCUUUCUGCAGUCUAUAUGCUGAAUUACAUUAAUAGGCACGUAUAUGUUGUUUACAUUAUAAUUACAUUUCCCAUAUAUUAUGUCAUUGAAUCUUUACAAAAACCUGUGUUAAGUAUUAUAUUUCCCAGUUAAUUCUAAUGCCUAAAUGCUUAUUAUCUAGAAAAGUUUAGAAAACUUUUUCCGUAAAGAACCAGAGAGUAAAUAUGUUAUGGUCUCUAUUACGAAUACUCAACUCUGCUCUUGUAACAACAAAGCAACCUAUAAAAUAUGUAAAUGAAUGACUGUGGCUCUGUUCUAAUAAAAACUCUAUUUGUAAAAAUAAGCAGCUCCCCUAGGCCAUAGUUUGCCCAACUCUGACCGAGAUAAUUUAUUCCACACUGAUUUGUGUAUGGUGAUCUUGUAUGUAUGGUGAUCUUGUAUUCUGCCACCUUGCUGAACUCACUUAUUAGUUUUCAUCUUUUUUUUUUGUACAUUUCUUGGGAUUUUCUACAUAGACAAUUAAACACACACUCCUAAGUGAAAUAAACCAAACUCAAAAGGUCAAAUACUGUGUGACUUCACUGCAAAAGGCAAAACUAUCAGAACAGGAAAUAGAUUCGUGGUUGUCAGGAGGUGGAGUAGAGUGUGGGUUAGAUUACUACGGGGGAUGAGGGAG